RNAcentral lists this transfer-messenger RNA (402 nucleotides) under uncultured Prevotella sp. It matches the Rfam family "transfer-messenger RNA". Rfam says of the family: Bacterial tmRNA, also known as 10Sa RNA or SsrA, is named for its dual tRNA and mRNA-like properties. Its role is to liberate the mRNA from a stalled ribosome. To accomplish this part of the tmRNA is used as a reading frame that ends in a translation stop signal. The record is from RNAcentral. Lineage: Bacteria; Pseudomonadati; Bacteroidota; Bacteroidia; Bacteroidales; Prevotellaceae.
GGGCUUGACUGGAUUUGACGGCAAGAUGAGAUGGUGUGUAAGCAUGCGGAGUGACGACUGUGAACUCCAUAAACCCUUCGGUCAUAAAUUUAAUUGGCAACAAUCAGUAUGCUCUCGCAGCCUAACCGAAGUAUAGUAGGUUACUCGGCUUAAUUCCCUUGCAAGGCGAGGGAACGGGACGUCGCUCCGAGGAUGUUGUUCCGAAUUGCUCGGGCUCAGCGGCGCAGAAUAAUCGGAAAUAGCCUUGCGGCUUCUCCGUCCAAGAGGUGAAGUUUUUAGGAGAUAAGGCUGUGGUUGGUGGCUCGGGUCUUGCCACAGCACGAAAAUGCAGGCCGAGAUAAGCAUGUAGAAAGCACAUGGUUUCCUUGUGCGGACGUGGGUUCGAAUCCCACCAGGUCCACU